Non-coding RNA from Mycoemilia scoparia, 105 nucleotides. NCBI's taxonomy places the organism in Eukaryota, Fungi, Kickxellomycota, Kickxellomycetes, Kickxellales, Kickxellaceae. The record is from the annotation of a GenBank genome assembly.
GCCUCAUUAGCUCAGCUGGUUAGAGCGCUGUGCUUAUAGUACUAAAAAAUACUAUGAAUGCGUUGAGAAACGCGGAGGUCCUGGGUUCGAUCCCCAGAUGGAGCA